AUAGUUGUUAGCGAUUAUGACUAUGACGAAGAUUAUGAAGAUUAUGGAGAUUAUGAGUAUUACGACGACUACUUCUCUCCUCUUGGUUAUGGUUUCUUCAAUGACGACGGGCUUGGGUUUUUUGAACUCGACCAUUUCUGAGUAUGGCAGAUGGUUUGCUGGAUAAGUUGAUUUCAAGUGAUUAUAUCAGCAUGUUAGAGCUUUCAUUUUAUCAAUAGACCCUUUUAUCUUUUAUUAGCAAGCUUAUGACUCUGCCUUCAUUUUGACUAUUCUUGCUUUUGUUGUUCAUUUUAGAUGGCUUUGUAUCAACCUCUUUCUACUACC
This is a non-coding RNA of Salvia hispanica, 324 nucleotides long. NCBI's taxonomy places the organism in Eukaryota, Viridiplantae, Streptophyta, Magnoliopsida, Lamiales, Lamiaceae. The record is from RefSeq and is a predicted model, not a curated record.